UCCUUUGUGGCUCAUACAGUAAAGAAUUUGCCUGCAAUGCAGAAGACCCAGGUUCGAUCCCUGGGAUGGGAA
Molecule: transfer RNA, 72 nt
Filed under: Ovis aries (sheep)
Lineage: Eukaryota; Metazoa; Chordata; Mammalia; Artiodactyla; Bovidae
Rfam family: tRNA
About the family: Transfer RNA (tRNA) molecules are approximately 80 nucleotides in length. Their secondary structure includes four short double-helical elements and three loops (D, anti-codon, and T loops).
Source: Rfam by way of RNAcentral